GACGAACGCUGGCGGCGUGCUUAACACAUGCAAGUCGAACGGUGAAGCGCCUUCCUUUUUGGUGGGUGUGGAUGAGCGGCGAACGGGUGAUUAACACGUGAGUAACCUGCCCCCUUCUUCUGGAUAACCGCAUGAAAGUGUGGCUAAUACGGGAUAUUCUGGGUCUGUCGCAUGAUGGGUCUGGGAAAGAUAUUGUUUCGGUGGGGGAUGGUCUCGCGGCCUAUCAGCUUGUUGGUGGGGUGAUGGCCUACCAAGGCGGUGUCGGGUAGCCGGCCUGAGAGGGUGGGCGGUCAAACUGGGAAUGAGACACGGACUAGACUCCUACGGGAGGCAGCAGUGGGGAAUAUUGCACGAUGGGGGCAAGCCUGAUGCAGCGACGCCGCGUGAGGGAUGGAGGCCUUCGGGUUGUGAACCUCUUUCGACAGUGAAGCAGGCCUGCCUCGUUUGUGGGUGGGUUGACGGUAGCUGGAUAAGAAGCGCCGGCUAACUACGUG
Molecule: ribosomal RNA, 494 nt
Filed under: uncultured bacterium
Lineage: Bacteria
Description: partial 16S ribosomal RNA
Rfam family: Bacterial small subunit ribosomal RNA
Source: RNAcentral